UUAGUAUAGCUUAUUUAAAG
RNAcentral lists this transfer RNA (20 nucleotides) under Cryptobranchus alleganiensis (hellbender). Its description in RNAcentral is "partial tRNA-Phe". The record is from RNAcentral. RNAcentral also lists the same sequence under 2 other names. Lineage: Eukaryota; Metazoa; Chordata; Amphibia; Caudata; Cryptobranchidae.